This 354-nucleotide unclassified non-coding RNA is filed under the name soil metagenome. RNAcentral's name for it is "partial contains 5.8S ribosomal RNA, internal transcribed spacer 2, and large subunit ribosomal RNA". The stretch from base 1 to 120 matches the Rfam family "5.8S ribosomal RNA", at positions 35 to 154 of the family's 154-position model. The record is from RNAcentral.
GAUGAAGAACGCAGCGAAACGCGAUAUGUAAUGUGAAUUGCAGAAUUCAGUGAAUCAUCGAAUCUUUGAACGCACAUGGCGCCUUCCAGUAUCCUGGGAGGCAUGCCUGUCCGAGCGUCGUUUCAACCCUCGAGCCCUCGUGGCCCGGCGUUGGGGAUCUGCCACGGCAGGCCCCGAAAUACAGUGGCGGACCCGUUAGGCCCUUCCUUUGCGUAGUAGCAUCAGCCUCGCAUCGGGAGCCGGCGGGCUCUCCUGCCUCUAAACCCCCCAACAAGCCCGCUCCGGCGGCACCAAGGUUGACCUCGGAUCAGGUAGGAAUACCCGCUGAACUUAAGCAUAUCAAUAAGCGGAGGA